UAAAAAAAAAAAAAAAGUGUGUGGAUCUGCAAGACUCUCCAAAGCAGUUCUCUCUAGUGAGCACAACAUCCUUGAUACAAAUUUCCCCCUCCCCUCCACUCCCCACAUUCAGGACAAGGGAGGCGCUGGCCCUCUCGCCCCCUGGCGGUCUGUCUAGCUCCCGGCAGCCUCGGAAAGCCCAGGACAGUAGGGCAGUGUACUUGCGACCGACCCCGCCCAUCGGCUCCUGGGGAGC
Molecule: long non-coding RNA, 235 nt
Filed under: Homo sapiens (human)
Lineage: Eukaryota; Metazoa; Chordata; Mammalia; Primates; Hominidae
Description: non-protein coding lnc-AKAP14-4:1
Source: RNAcentral